RNAcentral lists this ribosomal RNA (243 nucleotides) under uncultured bacterium. Its description in RNAcentral is "partial 16S ribosomal RNA". It matches the Rfam family "Bacterial small subunit ribosomal RNA", at positions 529 to 771 of the family's 1533-position model. The record is from RNAcentral.
AGGUGGCAAGCGUUGUCCGGAAUUAUUGGGCGUAAAGCGCGCGCAGGCGGCCUUUUAAGUCUGAUGUGAAAGCCCACGGCUUAACCGUGGAAGGUCAUUGGAAACUGAAAGGCUUGAGGACAGAAGAGAAAAGCGGAAUUCCACGUGUAGCGGUGAAAUGCGUAGAGAUGUGGAGGAACACCAGUGGCGAAGGCGGCUUUUUGGUCUGUAACUGACGCUGAGGCGCGAAAGCGUGGGGAGCAA